RNAcentral lists this long non-coding RNA (727 nucleotides) under Homo sapiens (human). RNAcentral's name for it is "non-protein coding lnc-CSNK1G1-1:5". The record is from RNAcentral. Lineage: Eukaryota; Metazoa; Chordata; Mammalia; Primates; Hominidae.
GCCAGGAGCCACCCAUCCUCCAGCACACUGAGCAGCAAGCUGGACACACGGCACACUGAUCCAAAUGGGUAAGGGGAUGGUGGCGAUGCUCAUUCUGGGUCUGCUACUUCUGGCGCUGCUCCUACCCGUGCAGGUUUCUUCAUUUGUUCCUUUAACCAGUAUGCCGGAAGCUACUGCAGCCGAAACCACAAAGCCCUCCAACAGUGCCCUACAGCCUACAGCCGGUCUCCUUGUGGUCUUGCUUGCCCUUCUACAUCUCUACCAUUAAGAGGCAGGUCAAGAAACAGCUACAGUUCUCCAACCCAUACACUAAAACCGAAUCCAAAUGGUGCCUAGAAGUUCAAUGUGGCAAGGAAAAAAACCAGGUCUUCAUCAAAUCUACUAAUUUCACUCCUUAUUAACAGAGAAACGCUUGAGAGUCUCAAACUGGACUGGUUUAAAGAGCAUCUGAAGGAUUUGACUAGAUGAUAAAUGCCAAUAUUAAAUCUGUUGGAGUUUCACGUAUAAGACAGAGGAGAAAGAGAACAUCAAAAAUUACUUAGCAAGCUAUGGAAUGGAGAUUCAGUUUUCAUUUUAGUUUGUUAAAUCUACAAGGCUGUAAAAUGAUUAGGUUACAAGAUGUUCACCUAAGAUUGAGACCUAGUGACUACAUUUCCUACGGGAACAAAUAAAUGGUUUUUCAUCUCCCGGAGAUACAUUACAAACAAAUAUGGUGCUAAAAGAACUC